GGAGUACCUUAGUGCCGCCCUUACUUUUAUUAAUUAUAGCAAUAUGUGUUAUGACUUUUUGUAAUAUUUUUACAUGUGUUUAUGUUAUACGUUUGAGACGAGAAGUUGAAUGGGUAAUAGUUCAACGAAUGAGAUGAAAUUGUCUUUGAUAUAUA
Long non-coding RNA from Thalassophryne amazonica, 155 nucleotides. RefSeq lists it as uncharacterized. The transcript is spliced from 3 exons. NCBI's taxonomy places the organism in Eukaryota, Metazoa, Chordata, Actinopteri, Batrachoidiformes, Batrachoididae. The record is from RefSeq and is a predicted model, not a curated record.